This 286-nucleotide ribosomal RNA is filed under the name uncultured Methylobacterium sp. RNAcentral describes it as "partial 16S ribosomal RNA". It matches the Rfam family "Bacterial small subunit ribosomal RNA", at positions 1093 to 1382 of the family's 1533-position model. Lineage: Bacteria; Pseudomonadati; Pseudomonadota; Alphaproteobacteria; Hyphomicrobiales; Methylobacteriaceae. The record is from RNAcentral.
CGAGCGCACCCUUGUCCUUAGUUGCCAUCAUUCAGUUGGGCACUCUAAGGAGACUGCCGGUGAUAAACCGCGGGGAAGGGGGGGAUGACGUCAAGUCCUCUGGGCCCUUACCGGAUUGGUUACCCCCCUGCUACAAUGGCUGUGACAAGGGGACGCGAAGGAGCGAUCUGGAGAAAUCCCCAAAAACCGUCUCAGUUCGGAUUGCAGUCUGCAACUCGAGUGCAUGAAGGCGGAAUCGCUAGUAAUCGCGGGUCAGAAUGCCGCGGUGAAUACGUUCCCGGGCCUU